GCAGUCUGCAACUCGAGUGCAUGAAGCUGGAAUCGCUAGUAAUCGCGGAUCAGAAUGCCGCGGUGAAUACGUUCCCGGGUCUUGUACACACCGCCCGUCACACCAUGGGAGUCGGGAAUGCCCGAAGCCGGUGGCCCAAUCGAAAGAAGGGAGCCGUCGAAGGNAGGCCGGAUGACUGGGGUGAAGUCGUAACAAGGUACC
Molecule: ribosomal RNA, 201 nt
Filed under: uncultured bacterium
Lineage: Bacteria
Description: partial 16S ribosomal RNA
Rfam family: Bacterial small subunit ribosomal RNA
Source: RNAcentral